AGGAUGAACGCUGGCGGCGUGCUUAACACAUGCAAGUCGAACGAUGAAGGCUGGAGCUUGCUCUGGCUGGAUUAGUGGCGAACGGGUGAGUAACACGUGAGUAACCUGCCCCAGACUCUGGGAUAAGCGCUGGAAACGGCGUCUAAUACCGGAUACGAGUCUUCCACCGCAUGGUGAGGAGCUGGAAAGAAUUUCGGUCUGGGAUGGACUCGCGGCCUAUCAGCUUGUUGGUGAGGUAAUGGCUCACCGAAGGCGACGACGGGUAGCCGGACCUGAGAGGGUGACCGGCCACACGUGGGACUGAGACGACCGGCCCAGACCGUCCCGUACGGGAGGCCGAGCGAGGUGGGGAAUUAGUGCAACAAGUGGGCGACGAAGCCGUGA
Molecule: ribosomal RNA, 384 nt
Filed under: uncultured soil bacterium
Lineage: Bacteria
Description: bacterial SSU rRNA
Rfam family: Bacterial small subunit ribosomal RNA
Source: RNAcentral